CUUAAACAAACUUCUAUAUGCUAGUCCUCAAUGAGGAAAGACUGGUGGCAAACUGAUAGUAUUGAAAAGCUAUCAGGUGCCGGUCAAAGGUGUUAACAUUUUCUUAAUGUUUGAAAUUUUCUUAGCACCAGUCGGGAUACAAGUCAUUAACAGUUUGAUAUCCAAAAUCAAAUUUUUGGUAUCCUGUGGAUAUCGGAUACUGCAAAUUUCAGACCAUGGGUAGUUGCGACACGAACAGAAAGUCUGUUAAUUUAAUUCAUAGAAUAGCAUGUUAAAUUUUCCUGGCACUCAUAGAUUUUCAAUGACAGGCUGACAAGUGCAUCGCACGUCUAACAGUG
Molecule: non-coding RNA, 338 nt
Organism: Paramuricea clavata
Lineage: Eukaryota; Metazoa; Cnidaria; Anthozoa; Malacalcyonacea; Plexauridae
Source: the annotation of a GenBank genome assembly